This 253-nucleotide ribosomal RNA is filed under the name uncultured bacterium. RNAcentral's name for it is "partial 16S ribosomal RNA". It matches the Rfam family "Bacterial small subunit ribosomal RNA", at positions 524 to 776 of the family's 1533-position model. The record is from RNAcentral.
UGCGUAGGAUGCAAGCGUUGUCCGGAUUUACUGGGCGUAAAGCGCGCGCAGGCGGCAAGGUAAGUAAGGUGUGAAAUCUGUCGGCUCAACCGGGAGGGUGCACUUUAGACUGCUUUGCUUGAGGUCGGCAGAGGGAAGUGGAAUUUCGGGUGUAGCGGUGAAAUGCGUAGAUAUCGGGAGGAACACCAGUGGCGAAGGCGACUACCUGGCCUGUUCUUGACGCUGAGGCGCGAAAGCUAGGGGAGCAAACGGG